RNAcentral lists this RNase P RNA (320 nucleotides) under Limnohabitans sp. Jir61. RNAcentral describes it as "Bacterial RNase P class A". It matches the Rfam family "Bacterial RNase P class A". Rfam says of the family: Ribonuclease P (RNase P) is a ubiquitous endoribonuclease, found in archaea, bacteria and eukarya as well as chloroplasts and mitochondria. The record is from Rfam by way of RNAcentral. Lineage: Bacteria; Pseudomonadati; Pseudomonadota; Betaproteobacteria; Burkholderiales; Comamonadaceae.
GAAGCUCGCUAGGCCGUCGCUGGUGCAAUCUGGGAAACCAGGCACUGGAGGAACGUCCGGACUGCGUAGGACAGCGUAAGAGGUAACACCUCUCCACCGUGAGGUGAGGAUUAGAGCAACAGAGACGAGCCGAUUUAGUUCGGGUGAAACGGGCAAUCUCUACGCGCAGCAAUACCAAGUAGGCCAGCGUUGAUGUGGUUCCGCAGAGUUGGCGGGUAGGUAGCACCGAGCCGAGUGGGUAACCCUCGGCCCAGAUUAAUGACGGUCACGCCGUGGGCAACCACGGUGCACAGAAUCCGGCGUAUCGGCGAGCUUCACAC